GUGGUUGUGGCUCAGCGGUAGAGCGCUCACCUAGCAUGUGCAAGACCCUGGGUUCGAUCCUCAGCACCACA
RNAcentral lists this transfer RNA (71 nucleotides) under Ictidomys tridecemlineatus (thirteen-lined ground squirrel). Its description in RNAcentral is "Spermophilus tridecemlineatus (thirteen-lined ground squirrel) tRNA". It matches the Rfam family "tRNA". From Rfam's summary of the family: Transfer RNA (tRNA) molecules are approximately 80 nucleotides in length. Their secondary structure includes four short double-helical elements and three loops (D, anti-codon, and T loops). Lineage: Eukaryota; Metazoa; Chordata; Mammalia; Rodentia; Sciuridae. The record is from Rfam by way of RNAcentral.